CUUUUCAUAAGGCAUAGUAAUACUAAAAUUGGAAUGAUACAGAGAAGAUUAGCAUGGCUCCUGCACAAGGAUGACACACAAAUUCAUGAAGCGUUCCGUAUUUUG
Molecule: small nuclear RNA, 105 nt
Filed under: Cairina moschata (Muscovy duck)
Lineage: Eukaryota; Metazoa; Chordata; Aves; Anseriformes; Anatidae
Source: RNAcentral